GGAUAUAGCUCAAUGGUAGAGUGCAUAUGCAUGAGGUCCUGGGUUCAUUCCCCAGUACCUCCA
This 63-nucleotide transfer RNA is filed under the name Camelus bactrianus (Bactrian camel). It matches the Rfam family "tRNA". Rfam says of the family: Transfer RNA (tRNA) molecules are approximately 80 nucleotides in length. Their secondary structure includes four short double-helical elements and three loops (D, anti-codon, and T loops). Further hydrogen bonds mediate the characteristic L-shaped molecular structure. tRNAs have two regions of fundamental functional importance: the anti-codon, which is responsible for specific mRNA codon recognition, and the 3' end, to which the tRNAs corresponding amino acid is attached (by aminoacyl-tRNA synthetases). tRNAs cope with the degeneracy of the genetic code in two manners: having more than one tRNA (with a specific anti-codon) for a particular amino acid; and 'wobble' base-pairing, i.e. permitting non-standard base-pairing at the 3rd anti-codon position. RNAcentral also lists the same sequence under 2 other names. The record is from Rfam by way of RNAcentral. Lineage: Eukaryota; Metazoa; Chordata; Mammalia; Artiodactyla; Camelidae.